RNAcentral lists this ribosomal RNA (862 nucleotides) under Stagonosporopsis cucurbitacearum. RNAcentral describes it as "eukaryotic LSU rRNA". It matches the Rfam family "Eukaryotic large subunit ribosomal RNA", at positions 79 to 959 of the family's 3401-position model. The record is from RNAcentral. Lineage: Eukaryota; Fungi; Ascomycota; Dothideomycetes; Pleosporales; Didymellaceae.
CCUAGUAACGGCGAGUGAAGCGGCAACAGCUCAAAUUUGAAAUCUGGCGUCUUCGGCGUCCGAGUUGUAAUUUGCAGAGGGCGCUUUGGCAUUGGCAGCGGUCCAAGUUCCUUGGAACAGGACGUCACAGAGGGUGAGAAUCCCGUACGUGGUCGCUAGCCUUUACCGUGUAAAGCCCCUUCGACGAGUCGAGUUGUUUGGGAAUGCAGCUCUAAAUGGGAGGUAAAUUUCUUCUAAAGCUAAAUACUGGCCAGAGACCGAUAGCGCACAAGUAGAGUGAUCGAAAGAUGAAAAGCACUUUGGAAAGAGAGUUAAAAAGCACGUGAAAUUGUUGAAAGGGAAGCGCUUGCAGCCAGACUUGCCUGUAGUUGCUCAUCCGGGUUUCUACCCGGUGCACUCUUCUAUAGGCAGGCCAGCAUCAGUUUGGGCGGUUGGAUAAAGGUCUCUGUCAUGUACCUCCUUUCGGGGAGAUCUUAUAGGGGAGACGACAUGCAACCAGCCUGGACUGAGGUCCGCGCAUCUGCUAGGAUGCUGGCGUAAUGGCUGUAAGCGGCCCGUCUUGAAACACGGACCAAGGAGUCUAACAUCUAUGCGAGUGUUUGGGUGUCAAGCCCGAACGCGUAAUGAAAGUGAACGGAGGUGGGAACCUUUCGGGGUGCACCAUCGACCGAUCCUGAUGUCUUCGGAUGGAUUUGAGUAAGAGCAUAGCUGUUGGGACCCGAAAGAUGGUGAACUAUGCUUGAAUAGGGUGAAGCCAGAGGAAACUCUGGUGGAGGCUCGCAGCGGUUCUGACGUGCAAAUCGAUCGUCAAAUUUGGGCAUAGGGGCGAAAGACUAAUCGAACUAUCUAGUAGCUGGUUCCU